RNAcentral lists this ribosomal RNA (314 nucleotides) under uncultured bacterium. Its description in RNAcentral is "bacterial SSU rRNA". It matches the Rfam family "Bacterial small subunit ribosomal RNA", at positions 46 to 356 of the family's 1533-position model. The record is from RNAcentral.
GCCUAACACAUGCAAGUCGAACGGCAGCGGGGGGUAGCUUGCUACCUCGCCGGCGAGUGGCGGACGGGUGAGUAAUGCCUGGGGAGCUGCCCAAUCGAGGGGGAUACCAGUUGGAAACGACUGCUAAUACCGCAUACGCCCUGAGGGGGAAAGGUGGGGAUCUUCGGACCUACCGCGAUUGGAUGCGCCCAGGUGGGAUUAGCUAGUUGGUGAGGUAACGGCUCACCAAGGCGACGAUCUCUAGCUGGUCUGAGAGGACGACCAGCCACACUGGAACUGAGACACGGUCCAGACUCCUACGGGAGGCAGCAGUG